ACCAUGACAGUUUUCUUCUCAAUACACUUAUUAAUCGGCAAAUCUUCAUGACAAUUCUUUUGGAUGUAUUUAUUAUCUCCAUUUGGAUGAGGUAACUCUUCUUCUAAUUCACGCACAAGACUUUUAACACUCUCUAAAAGUUUGCUCAUGUUUGUAUUGUCCUUGGUUUCUGAUUCAACUAUCAAAGAUAUUCCUGACUGGAAUUUUGAAAGUAAAACGGUAUUUUGUUUAGAAACUAUUUUUCUAGUUUGUUCUUCAUCAAAUGAUAACGGAUAUGCUGUUGGCUGAAGCUCUGAAUGUUCCUCUUUCUGUGAAUUGAUGUCUUUGGAUGCAUACACAGAUCCAGUGGAUUCCGCUGAUAAGCAUGCAAGUUUCUCCAUCUCAAGAAAAUCAUCCAUGAGCUCUAAAUUACAAGAACUCCCAGCCUU
Molecule: long non-coding RNA, 428 nt
Filed under: Zostera marina
Lineage: Eukaryota; Viridiplantae; Streptophyta; Magnoliopsida; Alismatales; Zosteraceae
Description: long non-coding RNA (ZMAR_LNC001811)
Source: RNAcentral